GACGAACGCUGGCGGCGUGCUUAACACAUGCAAGUCGAACGGUGAAGGGUCCGGUUUUUGCUGGUUCUGGAUGAGUGGCGCACGGGUGAGUAACACGUUAGUAACCUGCCCCCUUCUUCUGGAUAACCGCAUGAAAGUGUGGCUAAUACGGGAUAUUCUGCGCCUGCUGCAUGGUGGGUGUGGGAAAGAUAUUGUUUCGUUGUGGUAUGGGCUCGCGGCCUAUCAGCUUGUUGGUGGGGUGAUGGCCUACCAAGGCGGUUACGGGUAGCAGGCCUGAGAGGGUGGACAGUCACACGGGGAGUGAGACACGGCCCAGACUCCUACGGGAGGCAGCAGUGGGGAAUAGUGCACAAAGGGCGCAAGCCUGAUGCAGCGACGCCGCGUGAGGGAUGGAGGCCUUAGGGUUGUAAACCUCUUUCGCCAGUGAAGCAGGCCUGUCCCUGUUGUGGGUGGGUUGAAGGUAGCUGGAGAAGAAGAGCCGGCUAACUACGUG
Molecule: ribosomal RNA, 493 nt
Filed under: uncultured bacterium
Lineage: Bacteria
Description: partial 16S ribosomal RNA
Rfam family: Bacterial small subunit ribosomal RNA
Source: RNAcentral